RNAcentral lists this long non-coding RNA (943 nucleotides) under Androctonus crassicauda. Lineage: Eukaryota; Metazoa; Arthropoda; Arachnida; Scorpiones; Buthidae. The record is from RNAcentral.
GACAUAGCCAAGAAUUUAUUAAAAUGUAGUAUUUUUAUAAUUAAACAAUUUAUUAAUUACAGUAAUUGAUUUAUGUUUAUAAAGACGACGUCCAUUGUCCCGAUUUACCGGACACUUUGUCAGGUGGUUACAAUUGCCACUGUAGUCACCUGACAGGGUCCACCUGACAGAAUUUAAAUUCUGCCGACUGCCGGAUUCGGCAAAUCGCUUUCGACCAAUUGAGUGAAAUUUUUUAAUCUUUAGCGUAUUUAUUGUGAUGUGUAACCAAAUUUUAAUGAUUUUAUAUGUUUAAAAAACAUAAAACAUUCGACAAUAAAGUAUAUUUCAUCACACAAAACUGGAUAAAAAGCAUAUUUUACCUUUCAUCUAUCGUCAUCAUUCAACCAUUACCCGGCGACGAAUUGUUUUUUUUUUUUUAUCACGAAAAGGAAACUCCAAACAAUUCUAAUAAUUUUCUUUUGUUUUAUCAAAAAUAUUAUUGUCUCUAGACUUUUUACUGGAAAAAACUAAUUCCUGAAAUAACAGAUGAUAAUUUUCUCACAAACACCAGAGGAGCCAUUGUUAUUUUGACAAAUUUUGUUAGCUCAUCAAUUGGUUAUUUUUGGUAAAUCUUACAAAUUGUCUCAAUGGUCCUCUCAUUUGCAGGCUUGAUGACUGCCAGUGAAAUGUACGCUUCUCUUCUGUUUUCAGUGAUGGCUAGGUUGGGUAUUCUGUAAUUCUGGUUGAUGAUACUGGGAUGAUGGACACCCAUCUUUAGCCAGAUUAGAUGAUCUAAAGUUUCUUUGCAGAUGAAUUGAAACUAUUUCUUUAUUUGUUUGUUAUUGCCUGUUACAUCACAUAUUCUUGUUUUUUUACAAUUUUCCAUUGUUGAUUGUAGAUUGUAUUUACAAAGCCAUUCAGAUGAUAUAUAUAUACAUUUUUAUAUUAUUCCUAUAGUUGUCCA